UAAGAGCUCGUAGGCGGCUUGUCGCGUCGGAUGUGAAAGCCCGGGGCUUAACUCCGGGUCUGCAUUCGAUACGGGCAGGCUAGAGUGUGGUAGGGGAGAUCGGAAUUCCUGGUGUAGCGGUGAAAUGCGCAGAUAUCAGGAGGAACACCAGUGGCGAAGGCGGAUCUCUGGGCCAUUACUGACGCUGAGGAGCGAAAGCGUGGGGAGCGAACAGGAUUAGAUACCCUGGUAGUCCACGCCGUAAACGUUGGGAACUAGGUGUGGGUCACAUUCCACGUGGUCCGCGCCGCAGCUAACGCAUUAAGUUCCCCGCCUGGGGAGUACGGCCGCAAGGCUAAAACUCAAAGGAAUUGA
Molecule: ribosomal RNA, 354 nt
Filed under: uncultured bacterium
Lineage: Bacteria
Description: bacterial SSU rRNA
Rfam family: Bacterial small subunit ribosomal RNA
Source: RNAcentral